This 1719-nucleotide long non-coding RNA is filed under the name Triticum aestivum (bread wheat). RNAcentral's name for it is "long non-coding RNA (TAES_LNC025422)". The record is from RNAcentral. Lineage: Eukaryota; Viridiplantae; Streptophyta; Magnoliopsida; Poales; Poaceae.
AAAAAAAGCACUAGAAUGCACAAUGUGUAUGAUUUCUGGUAUAACUUGCCCCUUUAUCUCUCGAUGACUUGUAGUAUAACUUUCCCCUUUAUCUAAUACAUCACCCUUACACUCUCCAUUUACACUUGCUUGAAAGCAGAUGUACUAUGUUGUGGAUGACAAACUGAAGGAUUGGCUAAUGGGAAGCGCUGUGAUGUAUCACAUGGCCAUACAAGCAUGUGAGCUUUUGUUCUUCUGAUUGAACUUAACAAUUACUAUCAUGGUUGAUUGCUUAAGAAGCUUUUGUUCUAUGUAUGCAGUUGGAAGUGGACAAGUCCAUGACGAAAGCAGGAAUGCGACCACAAGCAAGCUGAGGUAAUAUGCAUGUUUCUUUAAGAUCGAAUCUUAUUCUAGCAUGCUAGCUGGGUCGUUGAGGUAGAGUGGUAGGCGACGUAAUCAUAUUUUGUUUUUAUGUUUGUAUGUUUCCAAGAAAUUUCAUGCACUCGACUAUGUACAGUACUGAAUUUUACAAAAUAAAAAUAUUUCAUAGAGUAACUACUGUGCUGAAAUCUUUUACGUCAUUCCUGGAGACUCAGUACAAAUGUUUAUCUUAGUAAAAAAGGAAAGAUUCAAACUGAGCAUGUUUUGCCUAUUUGAACAUGAAAGAUUUUUGACUGUGAGUUAGAACUCGGUGUUAAACUCUACUAUACAGUACAAAAUUUCAGACUUGUUUUGGCGUAUAAAACUGAUCCUCAUACCAGUUUUGGCUUGCUAGUCUGCUAGAGGGUAUUCUCUUCAAUGAACUCUAUUAAAAACAAGCUAAGAUGCAUGAGAUAGACAGAGAAAUAUGUAAUCAAUGGUUAUUUCAUGAGUUUCUUUUUUCCUAUGAUAUAGAGAAACCAAUAACCAAUGGCCUGCCCCUGCCUAUUUGUACAGAGGUUUGCCUAUUUGUACUAUUGUACUAUGUAUAGUACAGAGUUUUGCCUACUUGUAUACUAUUGUGCUGUUUAUAGUAUAGACUUUUACCUAUUUGUACACAGUUUUAACUAUUUGUUCAAUAUAGUACCGUAUAGAGUUUUGCCUAUUUGUUGAGUUUAACUCGGUGCAAAAAAAGAUUCGAACUCAGAGUACUAUAUUAACUCCAGUGGUACAUGUUUAACUCAGGUUUAGUCAUAGCUUUCACUAGAAAGUUGUAUUUUUUUAGACUAAGCAGCUUUUGCAAGUUGAUUGUACAACUUUUUGUUUUGCUUAUUUGCACAUGAAGAUUUGUCUAUGUGUACUUCAAACAAAUCUUUCUUGAUCUAUUGAUGUAACCUUGCUUGCUGUGAUGAUGAGAUGCUGCACACUUAGAAGAGUUUUAUUUAUGCCGACGAGUUAAAAACUGAAGCAUGUCAAAAUCUUUAAUGUGCUAAUUUAAAAUUUGAAACGAGAGCUCCAUUUUGAGUUUUCUAUUUGUUGCAGAUUUCCCUACAGAGUUGAUGGAGCUUUGGAAGAUCUUCAAUCUGCUGAAGAGUUCGGAGAUUUGGAAGAUCUUCAAGCUAGUGAAGAUUUGGUAGACCUAUAAUUAAGUUCGUAGAGUGAUUAUGACACUUGCUCUGCUCAUUUUGCUGGUUGUUAAGCCAGUAUAUGCUCAUUUUGCUUGUGUGACACACCCUAGAAACAUAUGUACUCCUUUUGUGGCACACAUUUAGAAACAUGAUGUAUUGUACCUUUUGUGGCACGACCAACUUAUACAUAUGG